This 497-nucleotide ribosomal RNA is filed under the name uncultured bacterium. RNAcentral's name for it is "partial 16S ribosomal RNA". It matches the Rfam family "Bacterial small subunit ribosomal RNA", at positions 28 to 507 of the family's 1533-position model. The record is from RNAcentral.
GAUGAACGCUGGCGGCGUGCCUAAUACAUGCAAGUCGAGCGAACGGACGAGAAGCUUGCUUCUCUGAUGUUAGCGGCGGACGGGUGAGUAACACGUGGAUAACCUACCUAUAAGACUGGGAUAACUUCGGGAAACCGUAGCUAAUACCGGAUAAUAUUUUGAACCGCAUGGUUCAAAAGUGAAAGACGGUCUUGCUGUCACUUAUAGAUGGAUCCGCGCUGCAUUAGCUAGUUGGUAAGGUAACGGCUUACCAAGGCAACGAUGCAUAGCCGACCUGAGAGGGUGAACGGCCACACGGGAACUGAGACACGGUCCCGACUCCGACGGGAGGCAGCAGUAGGGAAUCUUCCGCAAUGGGCGAAAGCCGGACGGAGCAACGCCGCGUGAGUGAUGAAGGUCUUCGGAUCGUAAAACUCUGUUAUUAGGGAAGAACAUAUGUGUAAGUAACUGUGCACAUCUUGACGGUACCUAAUCAGAAAGCCACGGCUAACUACGUG